This 497-nucleotide ribosomal RNA is filed under the name uncultured bacterium. RNAcentral's name for it is "partial 16S ribosomal RNA". It matches the Rfam family "Bacterial small subunit ribosomal RNA", at positions 28 to 507 of the family's 1533-position model. The record is from RNAcentral.
GAUGAACGCUGGCGGCGUGCCUAAUACAUGCAAGUCGAGCGAACAGAUGAGGAGCUUGCUCCUCUGACGUUAGCGGCGGACGGGUGAGUAACACGUGGAUAACCUACCUAUAAGACUGGGAUAACUUCGGGAAACCGGAGCUAAUACCGGAUAAUAUAUUGAACCGCAUGGUUCAAUAGUGAAAGACGGUUUUGCUGUCACUUAUAGAUGGAUCCGCGCCGCAUUAGCUAGUUGGUAAGGUAACGGCUUACCAAGGCAACGAUGCGUAGCCGACCUGAGAGGGUGAUCGGCCACACUGGAACUGAGACACGGUCCAGACGCCUACGGGAGGCAGCAGUAGGGAAUCGUCCGCAAUGGGCGAAAGCAUGACGGAGCAACGCCGCGUGAGUGAUGAAGGUCUUCGGAUCGUAAAACUCUGUUAUGAGGGAAGAACAAAUGUGUAAGUAACUAUGCACGUCUUGACGGUACCUAAUCAGAAAGCCACGGCUAACUACGUG